AAGUCGUAACAAGGUAACCGUAGGUGAACCUGCGGUUGGAUCAUUAAUGUAUAAAUCUCAUUAAUGGUUGAACUAUUCUUUCGAGAGUAGUUCACCAACACCCCAAAAAUUAUCUUGCUUCAAUUAUUUUGUCAUUUAGUCCUAGUCAGUUUCAUUUAGAAUGGGUAUGAAAGUACCUUUAAUAAGUCCAAUUGACUAGUGCUAAUAAUAAUAUAAACAUUUUAUUAUCUAUUUUAUUCAAGUUAUCUAUUAAAAAGAUAAAACAACUUUUGACAAUGGAUCUCUUGGCUCUC
RNAcentral lists this unclassified non-coding RNA (293 nucleotides) under fungal sp. RNAcentral's name for it is "partial internal transcribed spacer region". The stretch from base 1 to 46 matches the Rfam family "Eukaryotic small subunit ribosomal RNA", at positions 1786 to 1831 of the family's 1831-position model. The record is from RNAcentral. Lineage: Eukaryota; Fungi.